CCUACGGGUGGCAGCAGUAGGGAAUCUUCCACAAUGGGCGAAAGCCUGAUGGAGCAACGCCGCGUGGGUGAAGAAGGUCUUCGGAUCGUAAAACCCUGUUGUUAGAGAAGAAAGUGCGUGAGAGUAACUGUUCACGUUUCGACGGUAUCUAACCAGAAAGCCACGGCUAACUACGUGCCAGCCGCCGCGGUAAUACGUAGGUGGCAAGCGUUAUCCGGUUUUAUUGGGCGUAAAGGGCACGCAGGCGGUCUUUUAAGUCUGCUGUGAAAGCCUUCGGCUUAACCGGAGUAGUGCAUUGGAAACUGGGAGACUUGAGUGCAGAAGAGGAGAGUGGAACUCCAUGUGUAGCGGUGAAAUGCGUAGAUAUAUGGAAGAACACCAGUGGCGAAAGCGGCUCUCUGGUCUGUAACUGACGCUGAGGUUCGAAAGCGUGGGUAGAAAACAGGAUUAGAUACCCCUGUUC
This 463-nucleotide ribosomal RNA is filed under the name uncultured bacterium. RNAcentral's name for it is "partial 16S ribosomal RNA". It matches the Rfam family "Bacterial small subunit ribosomal RNA", at positions 338 to 792 of the family's 1533-position model. The record is from RNAcentral.